AAACAUGGAGGGAGAGGAGGAGCGGUGAGAGUACGGGAGGUAGGGUGUGUCGGAAAUACUGAGCGUAAAGCGUAUUAAAGGUGGACGGUAAGUCAGGGGUGAAAUCCCGAGGCUAGAGCUCGGAACGGAGGUCGAUACUGGCGAUAUUCGAGGCCGGGAGAUGUGAGUUGAACACCGAGAGUAGAGGGGAAAUUCGUAGAUAUGCGGAAGAACACCAGUGGCGAAGGCGGCUCACUGGCCCGGGACUGACGCUGAGAUACGAAAGCGUGGGGAGCAAACAGGAUUAGAUACCCCGGUAGUC
RNAcentral lists this ribosomal RNA (301 nucleotides) under uncultured Bacillus sp. Its description in RNAcentral is "bacterial SSU rRNA". The stretch from base 52 to 301 matches the Rfam family "Bacterial small subunit ribosomal RNA", at positions 547 to 795 of the family's 1533-position model. The record is from RNAcentral. Lineage: Bacteria; Bacillati; Bacillota; Bacilli; Caryophanales; Bacillaceae.